Molecule: ribosomal RNA, 390 nt
Filed under: Asaccus gardneri
Lineage: Eukaryota; Metazoa; Chordata; Lepidosauria; Squamata; Phyllodactylidae
Description: partial 12S ribosomal RNA
Rfam family: Bacterial small subunit ribosomal RNA
Source: RNAcentral
UUAGCCGUAAACCAAGACAGACCCCCCCCCACCCCCUGUCCGCCAGAGAAUUACACGUGAAAAACUUAAAACUCAAAGGACUUGACGGUGACCCAUACCAGCCUAGAGGAGCCUGUCCUUUAAUCGAUACCCCACGAUACACCUCACCCCUCCUAACCUUCUAGCCUAUAUACCGCCGUCGCCAGCCUACCUAAUGACAGAGACAAAGUAGGUAAAAUAGUCAGACCCACUAGUACGUCAGGUCAAGGUGUAGCUAAUGGGGGGGGCAGAGAUGGGCUACAUUUUCUGCUUACCAGAACCAACCAUAAGUCUCAUGAAACUCAUACUGAAAGGCGGAUUUAGCAGUAAGCAACGACAAGAUAUGUCCAGCUGAAGCCUGCUCUGAGUUGC